This 2893-nucleotide ribosomal RNA is filed under the name Escherichia coli. RNAcentral describes it as "bacterial LSU rRNA". It matches the Rfam family "Bacterial large subunit ribosomal RNA". The record is from RNAcentral. Lineage: Bacteria; Pseudomonadati; Pseudomonadota; Gammaproteobacteria; Enterobacterales; Enterobacteriaceae.
ACUAAGCGUACACGGUGGAUGCCCUGGCAGUCAGAGGCGAUGAAGGACGUGCUAAUCUGCGAUAAGCGUCGGUAAGGUGAUAUGAACCGUUAUAACCGGCGAUUUCCGAAUGGGGAAACCCAGUGUGAUUUGUCACACUAUCAUUAACUGAAUCCAUAGGUUAAUGAGGCGAACCGGGGGAACUGAAACAUCUAAGUACCCCGAGGAAAAGAAAUCAACCGAGAUUCCCCCAGUAGCGGCGAGCGAACGGGGAGCAGCCCAGAGCCUGAAUCAGUGUGUGUGUUAGUGGAAGCGUCUGGAAAGGCGUGCGAUACAGGGUGACAGCCCCGUACACAAAAAUGCACAUGCUGUGAGCUCGAUGAGUAGGGCGGGACACGUGGUAUCCUGUCUGAAUAUGGGGGGACCAUCCUCCAAGGCUAAAUACUCCUGACUGACCGAUAGUGAACCAGUACCGUGAGGGAAAGGCGAAAAGAACCCCGGCGAGGGGAGUGAAAAAGAACCUGAAACCGUGUACGUACAAGCAGUGGGAGCACGCUUAGGCGUGUGACUGCGUACCUUUUGUAUAAUGGGUCAGCGACUUAUAUUCUGUAGCAAGGUUAACCGAAUAGGGGAGCCGAAGGGAAACCGAGUCUUAACUGGGCGUUAAGUUGCAGGGUAUAGACCCGAAACCCGGUGAUCUAGCCAUGGGCAGGUUGAAGGUUGGGUAACACUAACUGGAGGACCGAACCGACUAAUGUUGAAAAAUUAGCGGAUGACUUGUGGCUGGGGGUGAAAGGCCAAUCAAACCGGGAGAUAGCUGGUUCUCCCCGAAAGCUAUUUAGGUAGCGCCUCGUGAAUUCAUCUCCGGGGGUAGAGCACUGUUUCGGCAAGGGGGUCAUCCCGACUUACCAACCCGAUGCAAACUGCGAAUACCGGAGAAUGUUAUCACGGGAGACACACGGCGGGUGCUAACGUCCGUCGUGAAGAGGGAAACAACCCAGACCGCCAGCUAAGGUCCCAAAGUCAUGGUUAAGUGGGAAACGAUGUGGGAAGGCCCAGACAGCCAGGAUGUUGGCUUAGAAGCAGCCAUCAUUUAAAGAAAGCGUAAUAGCUCACUGGUCGAGUCGGCCUGCGCGGAAGAUGUAACGGGGCUAAACCAUGCACCGAAGCUGCGGCAGCGACGCUGAUGCGUUGUUGGGUAGGGGAGCGUUCUGUAAGCCUGCGAAGGUGUGCUGUGAGGCAUGCUGGAGGUAUCAGAAGUGCGAAUGCUGACAUAAGUAACGAUAAAGCGGGUGAAAAGCCCGCUCGCCGGAAGACCAAGGGUUCCUGUCCAACGUUAAUCGGGGCAGGGUGAGUCGACCCCUAAGGCGAGGCCGAAAGGCGUAGUCGAUGGGAAACAGGUUAAUAUUCCUGUACUUGGUGUUACUGCGAAGGGGGGACGGAGAAGGCUAUGUUGGCCGGGCGACGGUUGUCCCGGUUUAAGCGUGUAGGCUGGUUUUCCAGGCAAAUCCGGAAAAUCAAGGCUGAGGCGUGAUGACGAGGCACUACGGUGCUGAAGCAACAAAUGCCCUGCUUCCAGGAAAAGCCUCUAAGCAUCAGGUAACAUCAAAUCGUACCCCAAACCGACACAGGUGGUCAGGUAGAGAAUACCAAGGCGCUUGAGAGAACUCGGGUGAAGGAACUAGGCAAAAUGGUGCCGUAACUUCGGGAGAAGGCACGCUGAUAUGUAGGUGAAGCGACUUGCUCGUGGAGCUGAAAUCAGUCGAAGAUACCAGCUGGCUGCAACUGUUUAUUAAAAACACAGCACUGUGCAAACACGAAAGUGGACGUAUACGGUGUGACGCCUGCCCGGUGCCGGAAGGUUAAUUGAUGGGGUCAGCGCAAGCGAAGCUCUUGAUCGAAGCCCCGGUAAACGGCGGCCGUAACUAUAACGGUCCUAAGGUAGCGAAAUUCCUUGUCGGGUAAGUUCCGACCUGCACGAAUGGCGUAAUGAUGGCCAGGCUGUCUCCACCCGAGACUCAGUGAAAUUGAACUCGCUGUGAAGAUGCAGUGUACCCGCGGCAAGACGGAAAGACCCCGUGAACCUUUACUAUAGCUUGACACUGAACAUUGAGCCUUGAUGUGUAGGAUAGGUGGGAGGCUUUGAAGUGUGGACGCCAGUCUGCAUGGAGCCGACCUUGAAAUACCACCCUUUAAUGUUUGAUGUUCUAACGUGGACCCGUGAUCCGGGUUGCGGACAGUGUCUGGUGGGUAGUUUGACUGGGGCGGUCUCCUCCUAAAGAGUAACGGAGGAGCACGAAGGUUGGCUAAUCCUGGUCGGACAUCAGGAGGUUAGUGCAAUGGCAUAAGCCAGCUUGACUGCGAGCGUGACGGCGCGAGCAGGUGCGAAAGCAGGUCAUAGUGAUCCGGUGGUUCUGAAUGGAAGGGCCAUCGCUCAACGGAUAAAAGGUACUCCGGGGAUAACAGGCUGAUACCGCCCAAGAGUUCAUAUCGACGGCGGUGUUUGGCACCUCGAUGUCGGCUCAUCACAUCCUGGGGCUGAAGUAGGUCCCAAGGGUAUGGCUGUUCGCCAUUUAAAGUGGUACGCGAGCUGGGUUUAGAACGUCGUGAGACAGUUCGGUCCCUAUCUGCCGUGGGCGCUGGAGAACUGAGGGGGGCUGCUCCUAGUACGAGAGGACCGGAGUGGACGCAUCACUGGUGUUCGGGUUGUCAUGCCAAUGGCACUGCCCGGUAGCUAAAUGCGGAAGAGAUAAGUGCUGAAAGCAUCUAAGCACGAAACUUGCCCCGAGAUGAGUUCUCCCUGACUCCUUGAGAGUCCUGAAGGAACGUUGAAGACGACGACGUUGAUAGGCCGGGUGUGUAAGCGCAGCGAUGCGUUGAGCUAACCGGUACUAAUGAACCGUGAGGCUUAACC